AAAAGAAAGCCGGGGCCAGAAAGAAACUCAGACAUCAUCUGGCUUACAUUUUAAUCUUGCAACUGAGAAAAGGUAGACUCUCAGCAGCUCCUGGCAAUAAACAACUCAGGCGCAACGGGAUGUUUCUUACAAGGAGCAGCCGUGCAGUGAUUGCUCCACUCUGAGGGUCUGACUCAGCCCUUCCUCAGCUUCUGGGCUUAUUUUAGCCCCACGUUUCUGGAGGAGGAAACGAGAACAUGAUCAAGGAUGCCGUGGGAAGAGCCUGGGGCCCUCCAGUUCUCUCGGGGAGCCUCGGGAAGCUCCUCGCAGUUUCAGCUACUGUAGAAAUUCACAGCCAAGGGCUCCUACAGAAUUGGGCUGUCAGCCUGGCCAGCCUGGGCGGGUGGGCCCCGCUGUAAGAAAGCCUGCCAUUUGGAAAUGAGAAUUAGAGCAAAAGGGGGGCUUGAAAACCAGGAAAGGGAGCCCCUCUCCCAGUGUAGCGGAGCCAGUCCAAGCAGAAGGUGACAAGGAAUGCUGCUGGAACUCAGCAUCCAGUCUCACAGAGCCUGAAGAAAGGCCAGUCAGCUGGUCCUCCUCUCAUGCCUGUUCUGCUCGACACAAAGGACUGGAAGCAUCAGUGUGUCUCUGGAGUCCAGCAUGGAGGUACCGGUGUGUGGCCAGAUGGCUGGAGUUCAGGCUGAAUCUGUUCUUGCCGAUGGCAAGUUCUCUAACUUCCAGCCAGGUGCUUCUCCACUGCCUCCCCGCAACACACAGGGUACAAAUUUAAAGCCAGUUGUCUAGCUUCUGUUGCUACUUGCCUCUGCUUAGAAUAGCUGAGCCGAAUGGAUCUUAGAAAUCUCUCUCUUUUGCAUGUCAAUCAUAUCUGAAUAAAG
Molecule: long non-coding RNA, 872 nt
Filed under: Homo sapiens (human)
Lineage: Eukaryota; Metazoa; Chordata; Mammalia; Primates; Hominidae
Description: long non-coding RNA NONHSAT192825.1
Source: RNAcentral